RNAcentral lists this long non-coding RNA (1154 nucleotides) under Olea europaea (common olive). RNAcentral's name for it is "long non-coding RNA (OEUR_LNC000482)". The record is from RNAcentral. Lineage: Eukaryota; Viridiplantae; Streptophyta; Magnoliopsida; Lamiales; Oleaceae.
UGAUUGUUUCAGUUUAGGACGAGACUAGAACUGGUAUAGAAAAGGAAGCACAACCUAGUGAAAAAAGACGGCACAGAUAAAAAGGGGAUAAAUCUGGAAGUAAGUGCAGUUUGAAAGAUAUUUGAAAGGUCAGCUAGUAAAGUUAGAAUACAUCAAAUAUGUCAGAAAUCUUAAGUCCACCUCAAACUUAGCCAGAGAAGACCGUGCUAUCAAUAGAAAACUGUUUACAUAUACUAGAUGGAUUCAGCAAAGCAGGCACGAUUACACCUGUAUGAAAAUGGGUUAAAAACACUGCUAGUCACUGAACAUCCAUUUCUCCAUCUUUCACCAUGGGUUACAUUAGUGAAUAAUACUGUAAGCCAACUAGUUACUCACCUUGGCAGAAUCCCAUAUUGGCAUACAAAUUGCACUUCAGAAUUGAGUAAUUUCCAGGGGGAAAAAACUACGAUGUCAUGAAAACUAGAAGAUGAAUCACAUUAACCGUACAUCUGCAUUUCUACUUCCCCUGCAGCACCGCCACCAUCCUUCCCAGAAAUGUGAUAAGAAGCCCGUAUUAAGGUGAAGAGAACUAAAAACAAUGGAUGUGCAAUUUCCAAUUAAAAAUAUAUACGAGGAAAUGGACAUUUUUUUACGAAGCAGUACAACAGGUUUUUGUUUGGACACCAAUAGCCUGUGAUUUCAAGAAUAAAAUGGAUUUAUAUUUUCAAGCAACCUCUCAGCUGAAAGUGUAAUACAAUGCUUGCUAGUUUCCAAUUUUAUUCAAUUACCGUCAGAUGUAUCAAUGAGACUGUUUGAUUCCAUUUGUUCCAAAAAAUUCAAUAAAAUCCAUUAUCUGAAGACAUACGUGGAAGUUUUACUUCUAUCAAAUUUCAAACUUAGAAUUCUCAGAAUAGCAAUGUUGAUUUUAAUGGGUUGCAAAUUGCAAGGUUAAUUUUAAUGGGUUCUAACCUGGUGCAGGUGAACCAUGGGGGUGGGUAGCACAUGUGAGAUCAAGCAUCUCACAUGUGGAUGAAGGGGUAAGAAAGAAGGAAAAGGGUUGGGAUGUUUAUGGGUGAGGAAGGGGCGGCGGUUGUCAGGGUGAGGCCUGGAGAUGGGUGGUGGACAGGCUGGGGGAGUGUGGAUGAAGAUUGAAUUUUCUAUUUUUCUGUUUUNNN